AUCUUCAGUCCAACAUACCUGCAAAAGCAAGCGAACAAAUUUGUCAUCGUUUCCUACAAUCACUCCUCAGAAACAAACAUGAACGACAAAUUUGACAGCAAAACUAAAACUCACCGGCCAAGCAUCAUUAGAGUCGCCUGUGGGUUAGUUCCCGGAGAUACGGCGAACGUCGACCCGUCGACCACGCGGAGAGCAUCGAUGCCCAUCACCUGGAAAUCGUGAUUGACCACCUUCCCCACGAGGCAGCCCCCGUGGUAAUGCCAUAUGGUGCUCACUGUGUGGCGGCAGAACUCCGCCAUCAACACAUUAUCAGCUUGAUCUAUCGGCAACACAGGCCCGACGAACCUGAAAUCUCCGCCCCCGAACCACUCCCUGAAUUUGAAAUCCUGCAUGGAUCGGCUCCUCAACACGUCCCCAAUCUUGCGCAUACCUUUCACGCAUCGCUGCACAUCCACGGGAUUGGUGAAGUAAUUAAACCGGACGAUUGGGUUGAUCCUGACGUCGGUGGAAGCCAGCCGGAGUGAACCGGUUGAGAGUGGCCCAGCGAUCUUCUCCAUGAGGGUGGCUACGGUGAGGUAAAUGGGAGAAGAUGGAUUCCGAAUGAAGACCGAGCGAUCAGGGGAUGCGAAUGGUAUCACGUUCGAGGCCGCUUCAAGGAAUUGGCCCACAUAGGGAAGAUGAUGCGCCACCGGAAUUCCCCACGACGACAGGUAACGCCGCGCCCCAAUGCCGCUGAGAAGCAGCAGCUGGGGGCUCCCGAUGGCGCCGGCGCUUAGUAUCACCUCGCCUCUUUUGCCCACCAUAGCGUGGUGGAACCGCCCCCUGGCGUCGCGGUAAACAACCCCAAUUGCCGAUUGUUUGAAACCUGACGCGCCUGAAGACGGAGCGAUCAGUACUCUCUCAACGGUUGCAUGGGCAGCAACUCUAAUAUUCGUCGGCUUUGCGUAGUCGAGAAGAUCCGCAGAACUGUGUCUCCUCCCUGAGCUAUCAAAAGUGGAAGCCCCAAUUUUGGUGCCCACAACGUGUUCGGUGGUGAACCCAUUGUAGGGGUCGAUGCCGGCCUCUAGGAGACCGUCUCGGACGGCGGAUUGCCAAUUCUUGAGCUGCGGCCGGAACACGACGGCCCUCUCCACCCACUCGUAGGACUCGUUCACAGCGUGGAGGUUCCAAUUAACGCCGGACUUCUUGAAGAAAUCUGAGUCGGCGCGGCUGUAGAAGCCGGCGUUGAUGGCGCUGCUGCCGCCGAGGACGCGGCCGCGGGCGUUGGGGACUCCGUCUUCGGAGGUGAAGGCUUGGGCGGGGGAAUGGUAGGCGUCGACGUUGGUGAGUGUGUUCAAGAAACCUUCUUGGGUCAUGAGGUUGGGGUUGCCGUAAGGGACGCCGCCUCGUUCAAGAACAAGAACCCGAAAUUUUGCAGAGAGCGUGGCGGCCAAGGGGCAACCGGCGGUUCCUCCUCCGACUAUGAUGUAGUCGUAAUAGUCUUCUGAUGGGAACUCUGUGGCGUUAAACACAAACUUCAAGUAACUUGCUCCUGCAAUGAAAUUAAUCAAGAUAUUUGUUAAAGAAAAGAAGAAGAAGAAGAAGAAGAAGAAGAAGAAGAUGGUGAUGAUGAUGAUGAGGUUUCAAUGGGGAAUUAAUUAAUAGCUUACGUACGUUGUCGAGGCUGCGCUGUGGCAUAAGAAAUGAGGGUCAAGAACAUGAAAGGAAACACAACGCGGGGAUGAAACAGAGAAAUGUGUAUUGCCAUUGUUGAGACGUUCUUGAGAAAGAUGCUAAUUAAGGUUUAUUGGGAUAUUUUGAAGGACAAUUUUUCCUUGCAGAGAGUCCAGGUUGAGGAGACGGGAGCUUAUGGAUGUUCGUCGGGAAUGGCAUUGUUCGGAGAAACUGAGUGAGAGAGAGAGAGAGAGAGAGAGAGAGAGAAGCAGAAGCGUCAGAGAGGAGGUUGCAGAGUCAGUUGGAUAUCGUUGAUCAACAUCGCGCUACGCAGCAAACAUAAUAUGGUUGAUCGGCAUCGCCGUACAACGAACAAAUUAACCCGUAUUUUAUUUGAAUUUUAUAAUUAAUAUUGGAUCCACUGUGAUGCACGUAAAAAUGAACCCUGGUCGACCAAAUGUAAUGAAGCGACAAUUCACUCACUCAACUUAGCAGACUGUUUAAUUAGCAUUAAAAAAAAAGGAUCCUUCUCUUUUUAUCAU
This is a long non-coding RNA of Malania oleifera, 2195 nucleotides long. RefSeq lists it as uncharacterized. The transcript is spliced from 2 exons. The record is from RefSeq and is a predicted model, not a curated record. Lineage: Eukaryota; Viridiplantae; Streptophyta; Magnoliopsida; Santalales; Ximeniaceae.